RNAcentral lists this ribosomal RNA (483 nucleotides) under Flavobacterium sp. CL1.125. Its description in RNAcentral is "bacterial SSU rRNA". It matches the Rfam family "Bacterial small subunit ribosomal RNA", at positions 17 to 500 of the family's 1533-position model. RNAcentral also lists the same sequence under 1 other name. Lineage: Bacteria; Pseudomonadati; Bacteroidota; Flavobacteriia; Flavobacteriales; Flavobacteriaceae. The record is from RNAcentral.
CCCUGGCUCAGGAUGAACGCUAGCGGCAGGCUUAACACAUGCAAGUCGAGGGGUAUAGUUCUUCGGAAUUAGAGACCGGCGCACGGGUGCGUAACGCGUAUGCAAUCUACCUUUUGCAGAGGGAUAGCCCAGAGAAAUUUGGAUUAAUACCUCAUAGUAUAGCAGUUUCGCAUGAAACCACUAUUAAAGUCACAACGGCAAAAGAUGAGCAUGCGUCCCAUUAGCUAGUUGGUAAGGUAACGGCUUACCAAGGCUACGAUGGGUAGGGGUCCUGAGAGGGAGAUCCCCCACACUGGUACUGAGACACGGACCAGACUCCUACGGGAGGCAGCAGUGAGGAAUAUUGGACAAUGGGCGCAAGCCUGAUCCAGCCAUGCCGCGUGCAGGAUGACGGUCCUAUGGAUUGUAAACUGCUUUUGUACAGGAAGAAACACUCCCUCGUGAGGGAGCUUGACGGUACUGUAAGAAUAAGGAUUCGGCUAA